GACGAACGCUGGCGGCGUGCUUAACACAUGCAAGUCGAACGGAAAGGCCCUGCUUUUGUGGGGUGCUCGAGUGGCGAACGGGUGAGUAACACGUGAGUAACCUGCCCUUGACUUUGGGAUAACUUCAGGAAACUGGGGCUAAUACCGGAUAGGAGCUCCUGCUGCAUGGUGGGGGUUUGAAAGUUUCGGCGGUUGGCGAUGGACUUGCGGCUUAUCAGCUUGUUGUUGGGGUAGUGGCUUACCAAGGCUUUGACGGGUAGCCGGCCUGAGAGGUUGACCUGCCACAUUGGGACUGAGAUACGGCCCAGACUCCUACGGGAGGCAGCAGUGGGGAAUAUUGCACAAUGGGCGGAAGCCUGAUGCAGCAACGCCGCGUGCGGGAUGACGGCCUUCGGGUUGUAAACCGCUUUCGCCUGUGGCGAAGCGUGAGUGACGGUAAUGGGUAAGGAAGCACCGGCUAACUACGUG
Molecule: ribosomal RNA, 468 nt
Filed under: uncultured bacterium
Lineage: Bacteria
Description: partial 16S ribosomal RNA
Rfam family: Bacterial small subunit ribosomal RNA
Source: RNAcentral